UGGGGAAUAUUGGACAAUGGGCGCAAGCCUGAUCCAGCCAUGCCGCGUGAGUGAUGAAGGCCUUAGGGUUGUAAAGCUCUUUCACCCACGACGAUAAUGACGGUAGUGGGAGAAGAAGCCCCGGCUAACUUCGUGCCAGCAGCCGCGGUAAUACGAAGGGGGCUAGCGUUGCUCGGAAUCACUGGGCGUAAAGGGCGCGUAGGCGGCCGAUCAAGUCAGGGGUGAAAGCCUGUGGCUCAACCACAGAAUUGCCUUUGAUACUGUUCGGCUCGAGACCGGAAGAGGUUGGUGGAACUGCGAGUGUAGAGGUGAAAUUCGUAGAUAUUCGCAAGAACACCAGUGGCGAAGGCGGCCAACUGGUCCGGUUCUGACGCUGAGGCGCGAAAGCGUGGGGAGCAAACAGGAUUAGAUACCCUGGUAGUCCACGCCGUAAAACGAUGAAUGCCAGCCGUUGGGCAGCUUGCUGCUCAGUGGCGCAGCUAACGCUUUAAGCAUUCCGCCUGGGGAGUACGGUCGCAAGAGUU
This 524-nucleotide ribosomal RNA is filed under the name uncultured bacterium. RNAcentral describes it as "partial 16S ribosomal RNA". It matches the Rfam family "Bacterial small subunit ribosomal RNA", at positions 355 to 896 of the family's 1533-position model. The record is from RNAcentral.